GUGAGUCAUCGAAUCUUUGAACGCACAUUGCGCCCUCCGGUAUUCCGGGGGGCAUGCCUGUCCGAGCGUCAUUGCAUCCUUCAAGCCCGGCUUGUGUGAUGGGUCUUCUUUCGUCCCGAAUGGGGGACGGGCCCGAAAUGCAGUGGCGGCGUCGUGGUUAUCCAACGGCCUGAGUGUAUGGGGCUCUGUCACACGCUCACCAGCCAGGACCGGCGCCGGCCUCAACCAAUCUAUCUUCUUAGGUUGACCUCGGAUCAGGUAGGGAUACCCGCUGAACUUAAGCAUAUCAAUAAGCGGAGGA
Molecule: unclassified non-coding RNA, 301 nt
Filed under: Onygenaceae sp.
Lineage: Eukaryota; Fungi; Ascomycota; Eurotiomycetes; Onygenales; Onygenaceae
Description: partial contains 5.8S ribosomal RNA, internal transcribed spacer 2, and large subunit ribosomal RNA
Rfam family: 5.8S ribosomal RNA (bases 1-71)
Source: RNAcentral